UCUGUUGUAUCUGUUUUUAUAUAUCCAAUAAGCUGGAUUUGACUUUGCAAAGCCAAGAUAAUAACACUUAUAUAUAUGAAGAUAAUAAGACUAUGAGAAAUGAAUUUACUUGCCUAAGUUGACAAA
Molecule: long non-coding RNA, 126 nt
Filed under: Mustela putorius furo (domestic ferret)
Lineage: Eukaryota; Metazoa; Chordata; Mammalia; Carnivora; Mustelidae
Description: lncRNA (ENSMPUG00000031588.1)
Source: RNAcentral